UACGAAGGGGGCUAGCGUUGCUCGGAAUCACUGGGCGUAAAGCGCGUGUAGGCGGCUCGUUAAGUCCGGUGUGAAACCUUGGGGCUCAACCCCAAGCCUGCACUGGAUACUGACGAGCUCGAGUCCGGGAGGGGAGAGCGGAAUUCCUAGUGUAGCGGUGAAAUGCGCAGAUAUUAGGAAGAACACCGGUGGCGAAGGCGGCUCUCUGGAACGGUACUGACGCUGAGACGCGAAAGCGUGGGGAGCGAACAGG
Molecule: ribosomal RNA, 253 nt
Filed under: uncultured bacterium
Lineage: Bacteria
Description: partial 16S ribosomal RNA
Rfam family: Bacterial small subunit ribosomal RNA
Source: RNAcentral